ACUCAAAUGAAUUGACGGGGGCCCGCACAAGCGGUGGAGCAUGUGGUUUAAUUCGAUGCAACGCGAAAAACCUUACCUACCCUUGACAUCCUUGGAAUCCUAUAGAGAUAUGGGAGUGCUUCGGAACCAAGAGACAGGUGCUGCAUGGCUGUCGUCAGCUCGUGUCGUGAGAUGUUGGGUUAAGUCCCGUAACGAGCGCAACCCCUAUACUUAGUUGCUAAUUACGCAAGUGAUGCACUCUAAGUAGACUGCCGGUGACAAACCGGAGGAAGGUGGGGAUGAUGUCAAGUCAUCAUGGCCCUUAUGGGUAGGGCUACACACGUGCUACAAUGGGCAGUACAGAGGGUGUUGAAACCGCAAGGUGGAACGAAUCUCACAAAGCUGUUCGUAGUCCGGAUUGGAGUCUGCAACUCGACUCCAUGAAGUUGGAAUCGCUAGUAAUCGCAAAUCAGCAUGUUGCGGUGAAUACGUUCCCGGGCCUUGCACACACCGCCCGU
Molecule: ribosomal RNA, 497 nt
Filed under: uncultured bacterium
Lineage: Bacteria
Description: partial 16S ribosomal RNA
Rfam family: Bacterial small subunit ribosomal RNA
Source: RNAcentral